Molecule: ribosomal RNA, 540 nt
Filed under: uncultured bacterium
Lineage: Bacteria
Description: bacterial SSU rRNA
Rfam family: Bacterial small subunit ribosomal RNA
Source: RNAcentral
UGAGGAAUAUUGGUCAAUGGGCGAGAGCCUGAACCAGCCAAGUAGCGUGCAGGAUGACGGCCCUAUGGGUUGUAAACUGCUUUUGUAUGGGGAUAAAGUCAAUCACGUGUGAUUGUUUGCAGGUACCAUACGAAUAAGGACCGGCUAAUUCCGUGCCAGCAGCCGCGGUAAUACGGAAGGUCCGGGCGUUAUCCGGAUUUAUUGGGUUUAAAGGGAGCGUAGGCUGGAGAUUAAGUGUGUUGUGAAAUGUAGACGCUCAACGUCUGACUUGCAGCGCAUACUGGUUUCCUUGAGUACGCACAACGUUGGCGGAAUUCGUCGUGUAGCGGUGAAAUGCUUAGAUAUGACGAAGAACUCCGAUUGCGAAGGCAGCUGACGGGAGCGCAACUGACGCUGAAGCUCGAAGGUGCGGGUAUCGAACAGGAUUAGAUACCCUGGUAGUCCGCACAGUAAACGAUGGAUGCCCGCUGUUGGUACGUGGUAUCAGCGGCUAAGCGAAAGCAUUAAGCAUCCCACCUGGGGAGUACGCCGGCAACGGUG